GCAAGUCGAGGGGCAGCACGGUUUUCGGACUGGUGGCGACCGGCGCACGGGUGCGUAACGCGUAUGCAACCUACCCAUUACUGGAGGAUAGCCCGGGGAAACUCGGAUUAAUACUCCAUAGUAUUAUAGAUUGGCAUCAUGAAAUAAUUAAAGAUUUAUUGGUAAUGGAUGGGCAUGCGUAAGAUUAGUUAGUUGGUGAGGUAACGGCUCACCAAGGCGACGAUCAGUAGCCGACCUGAGAGGGUGAUC
RNAcentral lists this ribosomal RNA (249 nucleotides) under uncultured bacterium. RNAcentral describes it as "partial 16S ribosomal RNA". It matches the Rfam family "Bacterial small subunit ribosomal RNA", at positions 57 to 305 of the family's 1533-position model. The record is from RNAcentral.